This 468-nucleotide long non-coding RNA is filed under the name Lathyrus oleraceus (garden pea). RNAcentral describes it as "Pisum sativum (pea) long non-coding RNA (PSAT_LNC039116)". Lineage: Eukaryota; Viridiplantae; Streptophyta; Magnoliopsida; Fabales; Fabaceae. The record is from RNAcentral.
AAAAAAGAAAAAAAGAGGACGCAAAACAGUAUCUCAAACGUCCUUCCCUCUCAUUCUCCUUCCCAAUCUCUCACGAUCGUCUUUCCAUCGCUCUCUCUCGUUAAAACUCUCUCACUCAAAAGCUCACACUAGCCUAAUCCUUCUUCUCUCCGUCUCGCUUUCACCCAUCCUCGCCCUCUUGCUCUCUAACAAAUACUCCAGAAAGAUUCAAGCCAAAAGAAACUCACCUUCGGUGGCGGCGACGGUGAUGAUGGAGCCUAAGCUUCACUAUUUCGCCUCUCUCUUCCAGGUAUGUACCGAUUUUUGGAUUUAGGGUUCUUUUUGUUCUCCGUUUUUCAAAUCCGCCUCCCUCUCUCAAUUUUUCGUCCUUUCACUAAUUCGCUUCGCUUCCUAUUUAUCUCCUCUGAUUAGGGUUUCAGAUUGAUGCUCAAAGGUUCGAAAGGAGAAAGUUUCCAGAAUCGCUUUUUG